CCUACGGGUGGCUGCAGUAAGGAAUAUUGGGCAAUGGACGCAAGUCUGACCCAGCCAUGCCGCGUGGAGGAUGAAGGUCCUCUGGAUUGUAAACUUCUUUUAUUUGGGAAGAAAUUCUCGCAUUCCUGCGGGAUUGACGGUACCAGAUGAAUAAGCACCGGCUAACUCCGUGCCAGCAGCCGCGGUAAUACGGAGGGUGCAAGCGUUAUCCGGAUUCAAUGGGUCUAAAGGGUGCGUAGGCGGACAAUUAGAAAUCUCCGGGCUUAACCCGGAAACUGCCAUUGAUACUAUUUGUCUUGAAUACCCUGGAGGUGAGCGGAAUAUGUCAUGUAGCGGUGAAAUGCUUAGAUAUGACAUAGAACACCCAUUGCGAAGGCAGCUCACUACGGGAAUAUUGACGCUGAGGCACGAAAGCGUGGGGAUCAAACAGGAUUAGAUACCCUGGUAGUC
RNAcentral lists this ribosomal RNA (450 nucleotides) under uncultured bacterium. RNAcentral's name for it is "partial 16S ribosomal RNA". It matches the Rfam family "Bacterial small subunit ribosomal RNA", at positions 338 to 795 of the family's 1533-position model. The record is from RNAcentral.